AUACGUAGGUGACAAGCGUUAUCCGGAUUUACUGGGCGUAAAGGGCGUGUAGGCGGUCUUGCAAGUCAGAAGUGAAAUUCCUGAGCUCAACUCGGGCGCUGCUUCUGAAACUGCAGGACUUGAGUGCUGGAGGGGAUAGCGGAAUUCCUAGUGGAGCGGUAAAAUGCGCAGAUAUUAGGAAGAACACCGGUGGCGAAGGCGGCGAUCUGGACAGUAACUGACGCUGAGGCGCGAAAGCGUGGGGAGCAAACGGGAUUAGAUACCCUGUUAGUCCACGCCGUAAACGAUGAAUACUAGGUGUAGGGGGUAUCGACUCCCUCUGUGCCGCAGUUAACACAAUAAGUAUUCCGCCUGGGGAGUACGGCCGCAAGGUUGAAACUCAAAUGAAUUGGCGGGG
This 397-nucleotide ribosomal RNA is filed under the name uncultured bacterium. RNAcentral describes it as "partial 16S ribosomal RNA". It matches the Rfam family "Bacterial small subunit ribosomal RNA", at positions 523 to 918 of the family's 1533-position model. The record is from RNAcentral.